UACGGGGGGGGCAAGCGUUGUUCGGAAUUACUGGGCGUAAAGGGCUCGUAGGCGGCCAACUAAGUCAGACGUGAAAUCCCUCGGCUUAACCGGGGAACAGCGUCUGAUACUGGAUGGCUUGAAUCCGGGAGAGGGAUGCGGAAUUCCAGGUGUAGCGGUGAAAUGCGUAGAUAUCUGGAGGAACACCGGUGGCGAAGGCGGCAUCCUGGACCGGCAUUGACGCUGAGGAGCGAAAGCCAGGGGAGCAAACGGG
RNAcentral lists this ribosomal RNA (253 nucleotides) under uncultured bacterium. Its description in RNAcentral is "partial 16S ribosomal RNA". It matches the Rfam family "Bacterial small subunit ribosomal RNA", at positions 524 to 776 of the family's 1533-position model. The record is from RNAcentral.